UGUCAGAUUAUUGUAAACUACCAAAUUAACUGCUUGUUCCAGUAGAGAUCUUGUGACAGCUUUCAAGUUUCCCUUCAUUUCAAUAGCACUUCAGGACCACAGUGGUAAAGGUCUCGGCAACCCCAAAUUCUACUUAUCACAUAUCACCAAGAAUCUGCUGUUGAGGCAAUAUUUGCCAACUAAGACCUUCAUUGGAGCACCAGGGAUGAUGACAGCACGGACCAGGGGACUGCCGGGAAGCUAAUGCACAUUCAAACAACACAGAGUUUACACAUUUCUACAAAAAGAUUGAUAAACAUUUACAGCUUAAAAGGAGAAACAGAC
Molecule: non-coding RNA, 324 nt
Organism: Chiloscyllium plagiosum (whitespotted bambooshark)
Lineage: Eukaryota; Metazoa; Chordata; Chondrichthyes; Orectolobiformes; Hemiscylliidae
Source: RefSeq, a predicted model, not a curated record